This 1025-nucleotide long non-coding RNA is filed under the name Heterocephalus glaber (naked mole-rat). RNAcentral's name for it is "lncRNA (ENSHGLG00000040177.1)". Lineage: Eukaryota; Metazoa; Chordata; Mammalia; Rodentia; Bathyergidae. The record is from RNAcentral.
GGAGCAGAGUGAGGAGAGGGAGAGGGGAGAGAGGAGGCUGGAAAUCACCAAAAGCCACAACUACUGAAGUCAGGUCUCUGCCAUGUGCUGGGUGACCUUAGUUCCGAGCUGGAGUCCCUGCAUCAAGCCGUUCCUGAAGCCAGCGUCCUUGAAUAUGUUUCCUUCAGCUAUGAGAGCCAGCUCCCCUGCUUUUCACUAAGUGCCAUUAGCAGAAAGCAACACGCACGCGCCAUCUCUCCCACCUGGGCCCGGGAGGCGGUGCCCACCUACUGCGAGAUUCCCCCCCCGGCCACUGGCUCAAGACCGUCGGCACGGUCCAUCUGAGCAGCACCCACCGUGCGCUGGCCCAGCGCUGGACAAAGGAGGCAUCGAUGUCACCCGGGGCUCACGGAGACCCAGCAGAAAGCCCUGGCCACGCCCGGAACACCCGGCCCUGCUCUCCACCCAGGCAACUCCUGUUGGCCAGCACUCCCCAGACCAGCGCCACCUCCUCUAAGACGCCUCCUCUGCCUCCCCUCCCCCAGGCGGUUCUGGGGGCUUCUGUCUUUCCUUGCGUUCAAGACGCACCAGGAUCCGAAGCAUCAACCACAAGGAACGAACAACACCCCGAUUACACCACCGUAACACGAGACUUUGUUCAGGUGGGGAAACUGAGGCCCAGAGAGGCAAAGCACAGAAACAGGGACAGCACCAGCACCAGCACCAGGGUUCAGGCUCUGGACAUGUGGGACAAGAAUUCACCUUCCAGGGCUUCCCAGGGUGAUGGCCCGGACUCCUCAGCCAGAGCCCUGGUGGCCACGGGGAUAAGCAGCUGCCCCGCGGGGCUGAAACGUAGCCAGCGAUGCUCCUGCGAGGGGAGGCCCCGCGUCACGCGUGGGCGGCAGAGCCGGAACUCGGGGCACAGCUAUUUCUGGAGGCCGAGGCGAGAAAACGCCCGGACAGACUGGCCGGGCCCUGGGGCAAAGCCAAGCUAGGACCUGGAAAUGUGGAGCCGGGUGGACGGCUGGGCUGCAGAUUUAAAUACG